GUGUGGAAAGGGUUUACUGGUCUUGGAUGGGCUCACGGCCUAUCAGCUUGUUGGUGAGGUAAUGGCUCACCAAGGCGACGACGGGUAGCCGGCCUGAGAGGGUGACCGGCCACACUGGGACUGAGACACGGCCCAGACUCCUACGGGAGGCAGCAGUGGGGAAUAUUGCACAAUGGGCGAAAGCCUGAUGCAGCGACGCCGCGUGAGGGAUGACGGCCUUCGGGUUGUAAACCUCUUUCAGCAGGGAAGAAGCCACAAGUGACGGUACCUGCAGAAGAAGCGCCGGCUAACUACGUGCCAGCAGCCGCGGUAAUACGUAGGGCGCAAGCGUUGUCCGGAAUUAUUGGGCGUAAAGAGCUCGUAGGCGGUUUGUCGCGUCUGCUGUGAAAGCCCGGGGCUUAACCCCGGGUGUGCAGUGGGUACGGGCAGACUAGAGUGCAGUAGGGGAGACUGGAAUUCCUGGUGUAGCGGUGGAAUGCGCAGAUAUCAGGAGGAACACCGAUGGCGAAGGCAGGUCUCUGGGCUGUUACUGACGCUGAGGAGCGAAAGCAUGGGGAGCGAACAGGAUUAGAUACCCUGGUAGUCCAUGCCGUAAACGUUGGGCACUAGGUG
RNAcentral lists this ribosomal RNA (612 nucleotides) under Kocuria palustris. Its description in RNAcentral is "bacterial SSU rRNA". It matches the Rfam family "Bacterial small subunit ribosomal RNA", at positions 197 to 822 of the family's 1533-position model. Lineage: Bacteria; Bacillati; Actinomycetota; Actinomycetes; Micrococcales; Micrococcaceae. The record is from RNAcentral.